UCCCGUCUCAAAAAAAAAAUUAAGUUAUUUGCUAGUGACCCACUGAGCCAUCAAGAAGGGGCAGAGUGAAAAACACCACUUUUGGGUGAAGUGACAACAUGAUGUGUUGUUUUCGUCAAUUGGUGUUGUGACAAGA
Arvicola amphibius (Eurasian water vole) is the source of this 136-nucleotide small nucleolar RNA. The record is from RefSeq and is a predicted model, not a curated record. Lineage: Eukaryota; Metazoa; Chordata; Mammalia; Rodentia; Cricetidae.